RNAcentral lists this ribosomal RNA (434 nucleotides) under uncultured bacterium. RNAcentral's name for it is "partial 16S ribosomal RNA". The stretch from base 48 to 434 matches the Rfam family "Bacterial small subunit ribosomal RNA", at positions 39 to 507 of the family's 1533-position model. The record is from RNAcentral.
GGGGGGGGGGGGGGGGGGGGGGGGCGGGGGCGGGUCGGGGGGGGGGGGCGGGGGGGGGGGCGGGCGGGGGGGUGGCGCGGGGGGACGGGCCUGUGGGGGCGGAAGAACGCAGGGGAACUGGUGCUAAUACCGAAGGUGCCCUGCGGGGGAAAGGUGAAUCGCCUUUAGGGCGGCCCGCGUCUGAUUAGCUAGUUGGUUGAGGUAAUGGCUCACCAAGGCGACGAUCAGUAGCUGGUCUGAGAGGAGGAUCAGCCACAUUGGGACUGAGACACGGCCCAAACUCCUACGGGAGGCAGCAGUGGGGAAUCUUGCGCAAUGGGCGAAAGCCUGACGCAGCCAUGCCGCGUGAAUGAUGAAGGUCUUAGGAUUGUAAAAUUCUUUCACCGGGGACGAUAAUGACGGUACCCGGAGAAGAAGCCCCGGCUAACUUCGUG